ACAGGUGCUGAUAGAGGAGCUCCACAGUCCUUUCUCCCGAGACUUUGGCGUGUGACAGCGCGUCUGAAACAACGCAGGAGGAUAGUGGCUCUCAGGAUCCUUACCCAUUGCAGACUAAGUCUGUGGACCGGGCUGCUCGGGAAAGCACAAAGUACCAGCAGGUAGCUCAAAGGCCAGAAGGAAAACCCGGCCAUCUGGAGGAAGCCGAGCUGGGAGGGAAACGAAACACCACCGGUCUUAAGAGAGCACAGGCCUUGAGCCCCGGGUGUUGUACGGAACUGAAGCUUCACUGAGUUCUGCACCUGAAACUAAUAUUACACUAUGAGGAAGAUCCAAUGAAGGACUCUGAGGGCCUAGACACGGUGGGGCCUCCAGACAGAAGCAGCCCAGGACACUGAGUGACCUCCUCAUAAACCCACACGGGACAAAACCACAAAAGAGCAAGAAAUAAGUAUUUUUGUUAUAUAUAGAUUUUUAAUGGUCUUAUAACUUUUUUUUGUUUUA
Long non-coding RNA from Lutra lutra (Eurasian river otter), 504 nucleotides. RefSeq lists it as uncharacterized. The record is from RefSeq and is a predicted model, not a curated record. NCBI's taxonomy places the organism in Eukaryota, Metazoa, Chordata, Mammalia, Carnivora, Mustelidae. The transcript has 3 exons.